UCCUGCUCAAUGGCUUACUAAAUAGCCGCAGUACAUUGACUGUGCAAAGGUAGCAUAAUCAGUUGGCUUAUAAUUGAAGUCUAGUAUGAAUGGAGCAUUGGGUGUAUACUGUCUUAAAUUAGUUAAUAUAAUUUACUCAAUAAGUGUAAAUACUUAUACUUAAAUAAUAGACGAUAAGACCCUAGAAAUUUUCUACAAUGUGAAUCUUUUUACUACUAUUUUGCUGGGGCGGCAGAAUAACACGGUAACUUAUUUUUUUUUUAUUCGAAGGUGUCAGAAAAAUGAUAAUUACUCUAGGGAUAACAGCAUAAUUAUUAUUAGAUUGUGACCUCGAUGUUGGACUAGGGAUUAUAUUACCUAGCCGGUAAAUAUAUUCGCUCUGUUCGAGCAAAAAUUCCU
RNAcentral lists this ribosomal RNA (399 nucleotides) under Oestophora silvae. RNAcentral describes it as "partial large subunit ribosomal RNA". It matches the Rfam family "Bacterial large subunit ribosomal RNA", at positions 1857 to 2596 of the family's 2925-position model. Lineage: Eukaryota; Metazoa; Mollusca; Gastropoda; Stylommatophora; Trissexodontidae. The record is from RNAcentral.